RNAcentral lists this ribosomal RNA (3513 nucleotides) under Triticum aestivum (bread wheat). RNAcentral describes it as "partial small subunit ribosomal RNA". The record is from RNAcentral. Lineage: Eukaryota; Viridiplantae; Streptophyta; Magnoliopsida; Poales; Poaceae.
AUGGAGAUGGUGGAGAAGCUUUCUCUCACCACAAGACCACAUCCACAUCCUUACUACAUCCAAUGGUUCAACAACAGCGGCAAGGUUAAGGUAACACGUACUGUUCGUGUGCAUUUUAGUAUCUCUACAUAUGCUGAUUAUGUUGAUUGUGAUGUGGUACCUAUGCAAGCAUGUUCCUUAUUACUUGGUAGACCAUGGCAAUUUGAUAAAAAUUCAGUACACCAGGGUAGAAACAAUCACUAUACUAUUGUUCAUAAGGAUAAGAAUAUUACUUUGCUUCCUAUGACUCCUGAUUCCAUUUUGAAAGAUGAUAUUAAUAGAGCUAAUAAAGCACAACAGGAGAAGAAUAAGAGUGAAAAUCAGAUUGUGGCCAAAGAAUUUGAGCAACAAAUGAAGCCUAAUAAUAAACCAUCUAGUGUUGCUUCUGAAAUUAAAUUGAAAAGUGCAUGUUUAUUUGCCACCAAAUCUGAUAUUGAUGAGCUAGAUUUCAGCAAAUCUGUUUGCUAUGCUUUUGUGUGCAAAGAGGCAUUAUUUUCAUUCGAGGACGUGCCUUCGUCUUUGCCUCCUGCUGUCACUAACAUUUUGCAGGAGUUCGCUAACGUUUUUCCACAAGACGUGCCACCGGGAUUACCGCCUAUUCGAGGGAUUGAGCAUCAGAUUGACUUAAUUCCCGGUGCUUCACUGCCAAACCGUGCACCAUACCGUACCAAUCCAGAGGAGACGAAGGAGAUUAUGCGUCAAGUACAAGAGCUUCUCGACAAAGGUUAUAUACGCGAAUCCCUUAGUCCUUGUGCUGUUCCUAUUAUUCUAGUGCCGAAAAAGGAUGGUACAUCACGUAUGUGUGUUGAUUGUAGAGGCAUUAAUAAUAUUACUAUUUGUUAUCGUCAUCCUAUUCCUAGGCUAGAUGAUAUGCUUGAUGAAUUGAGUGGCUCUACAAUAUUCUCCAAAGUUGAUUUGCGUAGUGGCUACCAUCAAAUUCGUAUGAAAUUGGGAGAUGAAUGGAAAACAGCAUUUAAAACUAAGUUUGGAUUAUAUGAGUGGUUAGUCAUGCCUUUUGGGUUAACUAAUGCACCUAGUACUUUCAUGAGAUUAAUGAACGAAGUUUUACGUGCUUUCAUUGGACAAUUUGUGGUAGUUUACUUUGAUGACAUAUUGAUUUAUAGCAGAUCUUUGGAAGAACAUUUGGAACAUUUACGUGCUGUUUUUAUUGCUCUACGUGAUGCACGUUUGUUUGGUAACCUUGGGAAGUGCACCUUUUGCACCGACCGAGUAUCUUUUCUUGGCUAUGUUGUUACUCCACAGGGAAUUGAAGUUGAUAAAGCCAAGAUUGAAGCUAUUGAGAGUUGGCCGCAGCCCAAAACGGUCACACAAGUGAGGAGUUUUCUUGGCCUCGCUGGAUUCUAUAGGCGUUUUGUGAGAGAUUUCAGCACCAUUGCUGCACCUCUCAAUGAGCUUACAAAGAAAGAUGUGCCUUUUCUUUGGGGUACCGCACAGGAAGAAGCCUUCACGGUAUUGAAAGAUAAGUUGACACAUGCUCCUUUACUCCAACUUCCUGAUUUUAAUAAGACUUUUGAGCUUGAAUGUGAUGCUAGUGGAAUUGGAUUAGGAGGUGUGUUAUUACAAGAUGGCAAACCUGUUGCAUACUUUUCUGAAAAAUUGAGUGGGCCUAGUCUGAAUUAUUCUACUUAUGAUAAAGAAUUAUAUGCUCUUGUUCGGACUUUAGAAACAUGGCAACAUUAUUUAUGGCCCAAAGAAUUUGUUAUACAUUCUGAUCAUGAAUCUUUGAAACAUAUUAAAAGUCAAGCUAAACUUAAUCGUAGACAUGCUAAAUGGGUUGAAUUCAUUGAGACUUUCCCUUAUGUCAUUAAACACAAGAAGGGAAAAGAAAAUGUUAUUGCUGAUGCAUUGUCUCAUCGCUAUACUAUGCUUUCACAACUUGACUUCAAAAUAUUUGGUUUGGAGACCAUCAAAGAUCAAUAUGUGCAUGAUGCUGAUUUUAAAGAUGUAAUGCGGAAUUGUAAAGAAGGAAGAAUGUGGAACAAGUUUGUUGUUAACGAUGGAUUUGUGUUUCGUGCUAACAAGCUAUGCAUUCCAGCUAGCUCCGUUCGUCUUUUGUUGUUGCAGGAGGCGCAUGGAGGAGGAUUAAUGGGACACUUUGGCAUGAAGAAGACGGAGGACGUACUUGCUACACAUUUCUUUUGGCCAAAGAUGAGGCGGGAUGUUGAGCGUUUUAUUGCUCGCUGCACUACAUGUCAAAAAGCUAAGUCACGACUCAAUCCUCAUGGUUUAUAUAUGCCUUUGCCUGUACCUAGUGUUCCUUGGGAGGAUAUAUCUAUGGACUUUGUUUUAGGUUUACCUCGAACAAAGAAUGGGAGGGAUAGCAUAUUUGUUGUCGUGGAUAGAUUCUCGAAAAUGGCACACUUUAUACCAUGUCAUAAAAGCGAUGAUGCUGUUAAUGUUGCUGAUUUGUUCUUUCGUGAAAUUAUUCGCUUGCAUGGUGUGCCAAAUACUAUUGUUUCAGAUCGUGAUACUAAAUUUCUUAGCCACUUUUGGAGAUGUUUAUGGGCUAAGUUGGGGACUAAACUGCUUUUUAGUACUACUUGUCACCCCCAAACUGAUGGACAAACUAAAGUAGUCAAUAGAAUGUUGUCUACUAUGCUUAGGGCUGUUUUGAAGAAUAAUAAGAAAAUGUGGGAGGAAUGCUUGCCUCAUAUUGAAUUUGCUUAUAAUCGUUCAUUGCAUUCUACUACUAAGAUGUGCCCUUUUGAAGUUGUGUAUGGUUUCCUACCUCAUGCACCUAUUGAUUUGUUGCCUCUUCCAUCUUCGGAGAAGGUUAAUUUUGAUACUAAACAACGUGCUGAAUUGAUUUUAAAAAUGCAUGAGUUAACUAAGGAAAACAUUGAGCGCAUGAAUGCUAAAUAUAAACUUGCUGGAGAUAAGGGUAGAAAACAUGUUGUGUUUGCACCUGGAGAUCUUGUUUGGUUACAUUUGCGUAAGGAUAGAUUUCCUGAUUUGCGCAAAUCAAAGUUAAUGCCACGUGCUGAUGGUCCCUUUAAGGUGUUAGAGAAAAUAAAUGAUAAUGCAUAUAAACUUGAGCUGCCUGCAGAUUUUGGGGUUAGUCCCACUUUUAACAUUGCAGAUUUGAAGCCUUAUUUGGGUGAGGAAGAUGAACUUCCGUCGAGGACGACUUCAUUUCAAGAAGGGGAGGAUGAUGAGGACAUCAAUACAAUUGUUACACCCACAGCCCCUGCUGCUAUACAUACUGGACCAAUUACUAGAGCUCGUGCACCCCAACUAAAUUACCAGGUACUUUCGUUUCUUGGUAAUGAUUCUAAUGUUCAUGAGAAUAUGAUGCUGCCUAAAUUGGAUACAUUUGUUUUGCUUACAAAUGAAGGGCCUAGCUUGGAGAAGGAUGAACAUUGGAGCAAGAACAAGCAUGGAGAUGAUGGCAUGCGCAAGGGGAACAAGAACGGAGUUACAAGUGAUGAUUUCAGGACUUUGAAGCCACCAUAA